CGCCAUCAGUCGUCGCUCGACACUGACGACAUGGUUCUACAAAACUACGAUUAGAUACCCUAUUAUUUAAAGUGAAUUUUUAUUCUUAGGUAGUAGUAGUUAUGAUCUUGAAACUUAAAAAAUUUGGCGGUAUUUUAGUCUAUCCAGAGGAACCUGUUCUGUAAUCGAUAAUCCACGUUGGACCUUACUUAAUAAUGUAUUCAGUUUAUAUACCGUCGUUAUAAGAAUAUUUUAUAAGAAUAGUAAUUUUCUUUAAUUUUUAUUAAAAUUUAUAUCAGAUCAAGGUGUAGCUAAUGAUUAAGUAGAAAUGGGUUACAAUAAAUUUAUUUAAACGGAUUUAACUAUGAAAAAGUUUUUGAAGGUGGAUUUGGUAGUAAAAUUAUUUAUGAUAAUAAUUUGAUUUUAGCUCUAAAAUAUGCACACAUCGCCCGUCGCUCUUAGACCAAGUCUCUGCUACCGUACGAGCGACGACUGAGCGGGCUGG
RNAcentral lists this ribosomal RNA (484 nucleotides) under Taeniaptera sp. SMB-2011. Its description in RNAcentral is "partial 12S ribosomal RNA". The record is from RNAcentral. Lineage: Eukaryota; Metazoa; Arthropoda; Insecta; Diptera; Micropezidae.